GUAGAGACCAGACCAGACCAUGUGAGUCAGUGGGGAGAUCCAUGUAGAGACCAGGCCAGACCAUGUGACUCAGUGGGGAGAUUCAGGUAGAGACCAGACCAGACCAGACCAGACCAUGUGACUCAGUGGGGAGAUUCAGGUAGAGACCAGGACAGACCAUGUGACUCAGUGGGGAGAUUCAGGUAGAGACCAGACCAGACUAUGUGACUCAGUGGGGAGAUUCGGGUAGAGACCAGACCAGACCAUGUGACACAGUGGGGAGAUUCAGGUAGAGACCAGACCAGACCAUGUGACUCAGUGGGGAGAUUCAGGUAGAGACCAGACCAGGCCAGACCAUGUGACUCAGUGGGGAGAUUCAGGUAGAGACCAGGCCAGACCAUGUGACUCAGUGGGGAGAUUCAGUUAGAGACCAGGCCAGACCAUGUGACUCAGUGGGGAGAUUCAGGUAGAGACCAGGCCAGACCACGUGACUCAGUGGGGAGAUUCAGGUAGAGACCAAACCAGACCAUGUGACUCAGUGGGGAGAUUCAGGUAGAGACCAGGCCAGACCAUGUGACUCAGUGGGGAGAUUCAGGUAGAGACCAGGCCAGACCAUGUGACUCAGUGGGGAGAUUCAGGUAGAGACCAGACCAGACCAUGUGACUCAGUGGGGAGAUUCAGGUAGAGACCAGACCAGACCAUGUGACUCAGUGGGGAGAUUCAGGUAGAGACCAGACCAUGUGACUCAGUGGGGAGAUUCAGGUAGAGGCCAGACCAUGUGACUCAGUGGGGAGAUUCAGGUAGAGACCAGACCAUGUGAGUCAGUGGGGAGAUUCAGGUAGAGACCAGACCAGACCAGACCAUGUGACUCAGUGGGGAGAUUCAGGUAGAGACCAGACCAGACCAUGUGACUCAGUGGGGAGAUUCAGGUAGAGACCAGACCAGACCAGACCAUGUGAGUCAGUGGGGAGAUUCAGGUAGAGAACAGACCAGACCAUGUGAGUCAGUGGGGAGAUUCAGGUAGAGACCAGACCAGACCAGACCAGACCAUGUGAGUCAGUGGGGAGAUUCAGGUAGAGACCAGACCAGACCAGACCAGACCAUGUGAGUCAGUGGGGAGAUUCAGGUAGAGACCAGACCAUGUGAGUCAGUGGGGAGAUUCAGGUAGAGACCAGACCAGACACCAGACACGACUUAAAGUGGAUUGUUUGUUAAAAGUCCCCCAGAUAGAACAGGGAGCAACAGCAACAUAUUCUCUAGAUAGAACAGGGAGAACUACCAAUACGUCUUCAGAAACAUGUCACAUGUCUUAAGUAGCACCACUCGUCAGGAGACACG
Long non-coding RNA from Oncorhynchus tshawytscha (Chinook salmon), 1317 nucleotides. NCBI's taxonomy places the organism in Eukaryota, Metazoa, Chordata, Actinopteri, Salmoniformes, Salmonidae. The record is from Ensembl.